Astatotilapia calliptera (eastern happy) is the source of this 539-nucleotide long non-coding RNA. The record is from Ensembl. NCBI's taxonomy places the organism in Eukaryota, Metazoa, Chordata, Actinopteri, Cichliformes, Cichlidae.
CAACUAUGCUCAAUCAUCCAGUCUCUGCUGACUGCAGGUUUCCAACCUUAUAAACUACAUUUGCAUAAUGACUGAAACCAGCCCACUGACUAGCAAUGCACUGUGAGGUCAGUGUCAUGAUAAUUAAUAUGCAAAUUGUAAACCGUGUUUUAUACAUCGAGGAAACCAAACUACCUCUGGCUAAGCGGAUAGCAGAACACAGAAGAGCUACCUCGUCAGGCCAGGACUCUGCAGUCUAUUUACAUCUACAGGGCAGUGGACACUCUUUCAGUGGUGAGGAUGUGCACAUCCUGGACAGGGAGGAACGCUGGUUUGAGCGGACAGUCAAGGAGGCCAUUUACGUGAAAAGGGAAAGACCAUCUCUGAAUCGAGGAGGGGGCCAAAGGGUACAUCUUUCACCAUCCUACAAUGGUGUGAUUGCAGCCAACUCUCUGUGAAUGGUACUCGUGACUACUGAUCAGUGGUCACUGGUCAUGACAAUUUGUAUAUCUAUUUAAAAAUCACACAGAUGUUCAGAUGGUAGAUCUGAAAGAGCAGCA